UGUCCAGUAACACCGUAGAGACCAACUAAGUUUGUUCUGGGUAUACGCUUUUGUGUGCGUGCAGAAAAACUUAGUUGGUCUCUAAGGUGCUACUGGACA
Non-coding RNA from Podarcis lilfordi (Lilford's wall lizard), 99 nucleotides. NCBI's taxonomy places the organism in Eukaryota, Metazoa, Chordata, Lepidosauria, Squamata, Lacertidae. The record is from the annotation of a GenBank genome assembly.